CACGUAGGGCGCAAGCGUUGUCCGGAAUUAUUGGGCGUAAAGAGCUCGUAGGCGGUCUGUUACGUCUGCUGUGAAAACCCUGGGCUUAACCCUGGGCCUGCAUCCGAUACUGGCGGGCUCGAGGCAGGCAGGGGAGAUCGGAAUUCCUGGUGUAGCGGUGAAAUGCGCAGAUAUCAGGAGGAACACCGGUGGCGAAGGCGGAUCUCUGGGCCUGUCCUGACGCUCAGGCGCGAAAGCUAGGGGAGCAAACAGG
RNAcentral lists this ribosomal RNA (253 nucleotides) under uncultured bacterium. RNAcentral describes it as "partial 16S ribosomal RNA". It matches the Rfam family "Bacterial small subunit ribosomal RNA", at positions 524 to 776 of the family's 1533-position model. The record is from RNAcentral.